UACAGAGGGUGCGAGCGUUAAUCGGAAUUACUGGGCGUAAAGCGCACGUAGUCGGCUUUGCAAGUCGGUUGUGAAAUCCCCGGGCUCAACCUGGGAACUGCAUCCGAGACUGCAUGGCUAGAGUACGGUAGAGGGGGAUGGAAUUCCGCGUGUAGCCGUGAAAUGCGUAGAUAUGCGGAGGAACACCGAUGGCGAAGGC
This 199-nucleotide ribosomal RNA is filed under the name uncultured prokaryote. Its description in RNAcentral is "partial 16S ribosomal RNA". It matches the Rfam family "Bacterial small subunit ribosomal RNA", at positions 524 to 722 of the family's 1533-position model. The record is from RNAcentral.